This 625-nucleotide transfer RNA is filed under the name Borreliella burgdorferi (Lyme disease spirochete). RNAcentral's name for it is "partial 16S-23S ribosomal RNA intergenic spacer". The stretch from base 43 to 116 matches the Rfam family "tRNA". Lineage: Bacteria; Pseudomonadati; Spirochaetota; Spirochaetia; Spirochaetales; Borreliaceae. The record is from RNAcentral.
UAAAGAGCUUUGUUAAACUUAGACUUAAGUUUAGGUCAUUUUGGGGGUUUAGCUCAGUUGGCUAGAGCAUCGGCUUUGCAAGCCGAGGGUCAAGGGUUCGAGUCCCUUAACCUCCAUUGGGCUUAUGUCCUAAAUCGUAAUUAAGUAUGUUUUUAAGUAACUUUGUUAAAGUAAUUGUUGGAACGUGAAACAGAGGAAGUUAAAAUUUCUGGGUUAAGUUGAGAUCUGUUGAUAUUAAGAAGAAUCUCUAGAAGCAAAAGCAAGCUUUCGAUAAAACCCGAAGUUGUUUCGCUAAAGUGCAAGGAUUAAACAGGAUUGUAUUUUCCAGUAGCCUAUUUUAUAAAUGAUCUGCAUUUAGUAAAUAGUUUUUAGUUAAGAAAUAAUGUAGAUUGCUAAGUGUGAUGCCUGAAAGAAGGACAAGUAUUGUAGCGAGCCUAAAUCCUUGUUGUCGUUGCCAGUAUUUAGUGGUAGGGAUUCGGAUAAGACUGCCAUUUAUAAGUUGGAGGAAGGCAAAGAUUGCAUUAAAUCGUUAUCGCUCUUAUGUUUUAGGUUACAAGUUUGCCACAAUAACCCAAAAAAGCUAAGCAAAAUGCUAUAAAGCAGAUUUCAGUUUGGAUUUGCCCGA